RNAcentral lists this ribosomal RNA (164 nucleotides) under uncultured bacterium. RNAcentral's name for it is "partial 16S ribosomal RNA". It matches the Rfam family "Bacterial small subunit ribosomal RNA", at positions 355 to 511 of the family's 1533-position model. The record is from RNAcentral.
UAGGGAAUCUUCCACACUGGACGAAAGUCUGAUGGAGCAACGCCGCGUGAGUGAAGAAGGGUUUCGGCUCGUAAAACUCUGUUGUUAAAGAAGAACAUAUCUGAGAGUAACUGUUCAGGUAUUGACGGUAUUUAACCAGAAAGCCACGGCUAACUACGUGCCAG